RNAcentral lists this long non-coding RNA (402 nucleotides) under Gossypium raimondii (Peruvian cotton). RNAcentral describes it as "long non-coding RNA (GRAI_LNC009451)". Lineage: Eukaryota; Viridiplantae; Streptophyta; Magnoliopsida; Malvales; Malvaceae. The record is from RNAcentral.
UGCCAUAGUUGUUUUAAAGAGUCCAGAUUCAUAAAAUCCCAGAAAUGGGUGUGAAAACACUCUUCUCUUACUAUCUCAAAGCACUACACAUAAAAAUUAAUGAAAGCCAGCUGGAUGAAAGCAGGAAACUACUAAAAUUAAGCGUAAUUAAUAUGGGUUUAUAGCCAAAUCGAUGAUCAAAAUGAAAAGAAAAAAAAGUGGGUGUAGAAAAUAAGCUCACCAGUGAAAGAAUUAAAGAGGAAAUGGGGAACCAAAAAUAGCUUAACCUGAAAUAAGGAAAAAAUGAAAAAAAAAUUAAUGGGGAGUUUAAAUGAGAAGAUGAGAUUAGGGGAGUAGAAAGAAAGAGAGAGAGCAGCAAAAACCUUAAAGAAAAUGGAAGAAUUAAAUAAAAUAGAAGAGAAG